RNAcentral lists this ribosomal RNA (495 nucleotides) under uncultured bacterium. RNAcentral's name for it is "partial 16S ribosomal RNA". It matches the Rfam family "Bacterial small subunit ribosomal RNA", at positions 28 to 507 of the family's 1533-position model. The record is from RNAcentral.
GACGAACGCUGGCGGCGUGCCUAAUACAUGCAAGUAGAACGCUGAAGGAGGAGCUUGCUCUUCUGGAUGAGUUGCGAACGGGUGAGUAACGCGUAGGUAACCUGCCUGGUAGCGGGGGAUAACUAUUGGAAACGAUAGCUAAUACCGCAUAACAGUAGAUGUUGCAUGACAUUUACUUAAAAGGUGCAAUUGCAUCACUACCAGAUGGACCUGCGUUGUAUUAGCUAGUUGGUGGGGUAACGGCUCACCAAGGCGACGAUACAUAGCCGACCUGAGAGGGUGAUCGGCCACACUGGGACUGAGACACGGCCCAGACUCCUACGGGAGGCAGCAGUAGGGAAUCUUCGGCAAGGGACGGAAGUCUGACCGAGCAACGCCGCGUGAGUGAAGAAGGUUUUCGGAUCGUAAAGCUCUGUUGUAAGAGAAGAACGAGUGUGAGAGUGGAAAGUUCACACUGUGACGGUAUCUGACCAGAAAGGGACGGCUAACUACGUG